UACGUAGGGGGCUAGCGUUGUCCGGAAUCACUGGGCGUAAAGGGUUCGCAGGCGGAAAUGCAAGUCAGGUGUAAAAGGCAGUAGCUUAACUACUGUAAGCAUUUGAAACUGCAUAUCUUGAGAAGAGUAGAGGUAAGUGGAAUUUUUAGUGUAGCGGUGAAAUGCGUAGAUAUUAAAAAGAAUACCGGUGGCGAAGGCGACUUACUGGGCUCAUUCUGACGCUGAGGAACGAAAGCGUGGGUAGC
This 245-nucleotide ribosomal RNA is filed under the name uncultured Peptoniphilus sp. RNAcentral describes it as "partial 16S ribosomal RNA". It matches the Rfam family "Bacterial small subunit ribosomal RNA", at positions 524 to 769 of the family's 1533-position model. Lineage: Bacteria; Bacillati; Bacillota; Tissierellia; Tissierellales; Peptoniphilaceae. The record is from RNAcentral.